UUUAAGUUUUAUUCUUGCUUUUUCGUUCAUUUUUUGCUUGUUCUAUAUGUAAGUUUGUGCGUGAGUUUUAGCUUAUACUCUAAAUGGGUUGGGGUUUAAAAGAGGGUGUUCUUUUUCUCAUUAGUUGUUAUUGGUUGUUCAAGUAUCCUUGUAUUUAGUAAUGCAUAUUAGUUUCGGUUAAAUUUUGUGCCAGCAGCCGCGGUUAUACCUUGGAGGCGUUUGAAUGUGUUUAGUGUUAAAUUGUAGUUAUAUUUUAAUUUGAUUGGCUUUGUUUUGAUUAUUGUUAGGUGAAAUUUUUAUUUUUAUUAUUUGUCUUUUAUUUAUUUGGAGGCUACGAAAUUCUUUUUGUAAACUAGGAUUAGAUACCCUAUUAUUUUAGAAUGUUAAUUUUUGUGCUAGAGUAGUAUUAGUUAUGUUCUUGAAACUUAAAGAAUUUGGCGGUAUCUCAUUCCGUCCAGAGGAAUCUGUCUCGUUAUCGAUAGUCCACGUUGGACCUUUCUUAGUUGCUUUGGUUUGUAUACCGCCGUUUAUUGAUUAUCUUUUUAGAGGUUUGUAAUUUUCUGGUUUCUUUAUUUUGAUUUAUUUCAGGUCAAGGUGCAGCUUGUUUCUAAGUGAAUGAUGGAUUACAUUGUUAUUUGUGUUUGGAUUGUUGAUUUUAAUAUUGGCAUGAAAUUGGAUUUGGUUGUAAUAAUUUGUAGAUUAUUAUUAUGAUAAGUGGUUCUGGGAUAUGUACACAUCGCCCGUCGCUCUCGUUUGUUGUUAAUGAGAUAAGUCGUAACAAAGUGGUUGUACCGGAAGGUGCGGCUGGAUUGAA
RNAcentral lists this non-coding RNA (814 nucleotides) under Neocapritermes sp. H TB-2017. Lineage: Eukaryota; Metazoa; Arthropoda; Insecta; Blattodea; Termitidae. The record is from RNAcentral.